Molecule: non-coding RNA, 528 nt
Filed under: Nicotiana attenuata
Lineage: Eukaryota; Viridiplantae; Streptophyta; Magnoliopsida; Solanales; Solanaceae
Description: Eukaryotic large subunit ribosomal RNA
Rfam family: Eukaryotic large subunit ribosomal RNA
Source: Rfam by way of RNAcentral
CGACCCCAGGUCAGGCGGGACUACCCGCUGAGUUUAAGCAUAUCAAUAAGCGGAAGAAAAGAAACUUACAAGGAUUCCCCUAGUAACGGCGAGCGAACCGGAACAGCCCAGCCUUAGAUCGGGCGGCUCCGCCGUCCGAGUUGGUUUGGUAGUCCUGUCUAGCCUCGUCACUACUUCGGCCGGGGUUAGGCCAGGCACUUACCAGCACAUGGGGUCGUUGUGCUGAUGCUACACUUCUGUGCUCUUUUGCACAGAUCACGGUACCGAGCAACUUUUGGACCACAGCAGUAGGAUAUUGAUCGGGAGCUGACUUCAGUCCAGGGACUUACGAGGUAGCCUAGCUGGCGUUCGCAGGCCGGAGCCCUUUUCUAUGUUUUCAGUUUGUUUCAUUUGACCGUGACAGACAUUUAUGUAUUUUCUAUUCGAGACUUGUUGUAGCUACUCUUUAGUAGUUCGUGAGAUAGCGACUCCAGUCUUGGGUAGAGAAAUGUUAAAACUCGCUUUAGUUUAAACUGACCCGUUAAUCUU